Molecule: ribosomal RNA, 1498 nt
Filed under: uncultured bacterium
Lineage: Bacteria
Description: 16S ribosomal RNA
Rfam family: Bacterial small subunit ribosomal RNA
Source: RNAcentral
UAGAGUUUGAUCAUGGCUCAGGAUGAACGCUAGCGACAGGCUUAACACAUGCAAGUCGAGGGGCAGCGGGGAGGUAGCAAUACUUCCGCCGGCGACCGGCGCACGGGUGAGUAACACGUAUGGAACCUGCCCGUAGCAGGGGGAUAAACGGAAGAAAUUCCGUCUAAUACCGCGUAAUAACUCCGAGAGGCAUCUCAUGGAGUUUAAAGGGUAACACCGGCUACGGAUGGCCAUGCGGCGCAUUAGCUAGUUGGCGGGGUAACGGCCCACCAAGGCGACGAUGCGUAGGGGUUCUGAGAGGAAGGUCCCCCACACUGGUACUGAGACACGGACCAGACUCCUACGGGAGGCAGCAGUGAGGAAUAUUGGUCAAUGGGCGCGAGCCUGAACCAGCCAAGUCGCGUGAGGGAAGACGGUCCUAUGGAUUGUAAACCUCUUUUGUCGGGGAGCAAAAGACGCCACGUGUGGCGUUCCGAGAGUACCCGAAGAAAAAGCAUCGGCUAACUCCGUGCCAGCAGCCGCGGUAAUACGGAGGAUGCGAGCGUUAUCCGGAUUUAUUGGGUUUAAAGGGUGCGCAGGCGGAAGAUCAAGUCAGCGGUAAAAUUGAGAGGCUCAACCUCUUCGAGCCGUUGAAACUGGUUUUCUUGAGUGAGCGAGAAGUAUGCGGAAUGCGUGGUGUAGCGGUGAAAUGCAUAGAUAUCACGCAGAACUCCGAUUGCGAAGGCAGCAUACCGGCGCUCAACUGACGCUCAUGCACGAAAGUGUGGGUAUCGAACAGGAUUAGAUACCCUGGUAGUCCACACAGUAAACGAUGAAUACUAAUUGUUCGGGGAGAAUGAUCCCUGAGUGAUACAGCGAAAGCGUUAAGUAUUCCACCUGGGGAGUACGCCGGCAACGGUGAAACUCAAAGGAAUUGACGGGGGCCCGCACAAGCGGAGGAACAUGUGGUUUAAUUCGAUGAUACGCGAGGAACCUUACCCGGGCUCAAACGACACAGGAAUACUUUUGAAAGGAGGUAGCUCUACGGAGUCUGUGUCGAGGUGCUGCAUGGUUGUCGUCAGCUCGUGCCGUGAGGUGUCGGCUUAAGUGCCAUAACGAGCGCAACCCCCAUCGCCAGUUACCAGCAAGUCAAGUUGGGGACUCUGGCGAGACUGCCGGCGCAAGCUGUGAGGAAGGCGGGGAUGACGUCAAAUCAGCACGGCCCUUACGUCCGGGGCGACACACGUGUUACAAUGGCAGGUACAGAGAGAAGCAAUGCGGCGACGCAAAGCGGAACUUGAAAGCCUGUCUCAGUUCGGAUUGGAGUCUGCAACUCGACUCCAUGAAGCUGGAUUCGCUAGUAAUCGCGCAUCAGCCAUGGCGCGGUGAAUACGUUCCCGGGCCUUGUACACACCGCCCGUCAAGCCAUGGAAGCCGGGAGUGCCUGAAGUGAGCAACCGCAAGGAGCGCCCUAAGGUAAAACUGGUGACUGGGGCUAAGUCGUAACAAGGUAACCGUA